GACGAACGCUGGCGGCGUGCUUAACACAUGCAAGUCGAACGGAAAGGCCCUGCUUUUGUGGGGUGCUCGAGUGGCGAACGGGUGAGUAACACGUGAGUAACCUGCCCUUGACUUUGGGAUAACUUCAGGAAACUGGGGCUAAUACCGGAUAGGAGCUCCUGCUGCAUGGUGGGGGUUGGAAAGUUUCGGCGGUUGGGGAUGGACUCGCGGCUUAUCAGCUUGUUGGUGGGGUAGUGGCUUACCAAGGCUUUGACGGGUAGCCGGCCUGAGAGGGUGACCAGCUACACUGGGACUGAGACACGGCCCAGACGGGUACGCGAGGGAGCAGUUGGGAAAAUUGGGCAAGGGGCGAAAGCCUGAUCCAGCCAUGCCGGGUGAGUGAUGAAGGGCUUAGGAUUGUAAAGCCCUUUUACCCGGGAUGAUAAUGACGGUACCGGGAAAAGAAGCCCCGGCUAACUCCGUG
RNAcentral lists this ribosomal RNA (463 nucleotides) under uncultured bacterium. RNAcentral describes it as "partial 16S ribosomal RNA". It matches the Rfam family "Bacterial small subunit ribosomal RNA", at positions 28 to 507 of the family's 1533-position model. The record is from RNAcentral.